AGAGUUUGAUCAUGGCUCAGGAUGAACGCUAGCGGCAGGCUUAAUACAUGCAAGUCGAGGGGUAACAUGGGUAGCAAUACCUGAUGACGACCGGCAAACGGGUGCGGAACACGUACGCAACCUUCCCAUAACUGGUGUAUAGCCUUUCGAAAGAGAGAUUAAUACACCGUAACAUAACGAAGCGGCAUCGCUUUGUUAUUAUAGGCUUCGGCCGGUUUUGGAUGGGCGUGCGCCUGAUUAGGUAGUUGGCGGGGUAACGGCCCACCAAGCCUGCGAUCAGUAACUGGUGUGAGAGCACGACCAGUCACACGGGCACUGAGACACGGGCCCGACUCCUACGGGAGGCAGCAGUAAGGAAUAUUGGUCAAUGGACGAAAGUCUGAACCAGCCAUGCCGCGUGAAGGAUGAAGGCCCUCUGGGUUGUAAACUUCUUUUAUCUGGGACGAAAAAAGGGCUUUCUAGCUCACUUGACGGUACCAGAGGAAUAAGCACCGGCUAACUCCGUGCCAGCAGCCGCGGUAAUACGGAGGGUGCAAGCGUUAUCCGGAUUCACUGGGUUUAAAGGGUGCGUAGGUGGGUCUGUAAGUCAGUGGUGAAAUCUCCGAGCUUAACUCGGAAACUGCCAUUGAUACUAUAGGUCUUGAAUCAUCUGGAGGUAAGCGGAAUAUGUCAUGUAGCGGUGAAAUGCUUAGAUAUGACAUAGAACACCAAUUGCGAAGGCAGCUUACUACGGGUGUAUUGACACUGAGGCACGAAAGCGUGGGGAGCAAACAGGAUUAGAUACCCUAGUAGUCC
Molecule: ribosomal RNA, 795 nt
Filed under: uncultured bacterium
Lineage: Bacteria
Description: bacterial SSU rRNA
Rfam family: Bacterial small subunit ribosomal RNA
Source: RNAcentral